RNAcentral lists this ribosomal RNA (253 nucleotides) under uncultured Blautia sp. Its description in RNAcentral is "partial 16S ribosomal RNA". It matches the Rfam family "Bacterial small subunit ribosomal RNA", at positions 524 to 776 of the family's 1533-position model. The record is from RNAcentral. Lineage: Bacteria; Bacillati; Bacillota; Clostridia; Lachnospirales; Lachnospiraceae.
UACGUAGGGGGCAAGCGUUAUCCGGAUUUACUGGGUGUAAAGGGAGCGUAGACGGCGAUGCAAGCCAGAUGUGAAAGCCCGGGGCUCAACCCCGGGACUGCAUUUGGAACUGUGUGGCUGGAGUGUCGGAGAGGCAGGCGGAAUUCCUAGUGUAGCGGUGAAAUGCGUAGAUAUUAGGAGGAACACCAGUGGCGAAGGCAGCUUACUAAGCCAUAACUGACACUGAAGCACGAAAGCGUGGGGAGCAAAAAGG